AUGAACGCUGGCGGCGUGCUUAACACAUGCAAGUCGGGCGAAGCACUUAACUUUGAUUCUUUCGGGAUGAAGAGUUCUGUGACUGAGCGGCGGACGGGUGAGUAACGCGUGGGUAACCUGCCUCAUACAGGGGGAUAACAGUUAGAAAUGGCUGCUAAUACCGCAUAAGACCACAGCACCGCAUGGUGCAGGGGUAAAAACUCCGGUGGUAUGAGAUGGACCCGCGUCUGAUUAGCUAGUUGGUGGGGUAACGGCCUACCAAGGCGACGAUCAGUAGCCGACCUGAGAGGGUGACCGGCCACAUUGGGACUGAGACACGGCCCAAACUCCUACGGGAGGCAGCAGUGGGGAAUAUUGCACAAUGGGGGAAACCCUGAUGCAGCGACGCCGCGUGAGCGAAGAAGUAUUUCGGUAUGUAAAGCUCUAUCAGCAGGGAAGAAAAUGACGGUACCUGACUAAGAAGCCCCGGCUAACUACGUGCCAGCAGCCGCGGUAAUACGUAGGGGGCAAGCGUUAUCCGGAUUUACUGGGUGUAAAGGGAGCGUAGACGGCGAGGCAAGUCUGAUGUGAAAACCCGGGGCUCAACCCCGUGACUGCAUUGGAAACUGUUUUGCUUGAGUGCCGGAGAGGUAAGCGGAAUUCCUAGUGUAGCGGUGAAAUGCGUAGAUAUUAGGAGGAACACCAGUGGCGAAGGCGGCUUACUGGACGGCAACUGACGUUGAGGCUCGAAAGCGUGGGGAGC
This 742-nucleotide ribosomal RNA is filed under the name uncultured Lachnospiraceae bacterium. RNAcentral's name for it is "bacterial SSU rRNA". It matches the Rfam family "Bacterial small subunit ribosomal RNA", at positions 29 to 769 of the family's 1533-position model. Lineage: Bacteria; Bacillati; Bacillota; Clostridia; Lachnospirales; Lachnospiraceae. The record is from RNAcentral.